This 504-nucleotide ribosomal RNA is filed under the name Sospita vigintiguttata. Its description in RNAcentral is "partial large subunit ribosomal RNA". The stretch from base 378 to 504 matches the Rfam family "Bacterial large subunit ribosomal RNA", at positions 2473 to 2600 of the family's 2925-position model. Lineage: Eukaryota; Metazoa; Arthropoda; Insecta; Coleoptera; Coccinellidae. The record is from RNAcentral.
UUUGAAAAUAAUUUAAAGUAGGGCCUGCCCACUGAGUAAUUGAAGGGCCGCAGUAUUUUGACUGUGCAAAGGUAGCAUAAUCAUUAGUUUUUUAAUUGAAAGCUUGUAUGAAUGGUUUGAUGAAAAAAUAGCUUUCUAUAAUUAAUUUAUUAAGAAUUUUAUUUUUAAGUAAAAAAGCUUAAAUUUUUUUAAUAGACGAGAAGACCCUAUAGAGUUUAAUUUUUAAAUAAAAUUUAAUUUUAGGGAUUUUAUAAUUAAUAUUUAAAUAAAAAUUUGAUUGGGGUGAUUGAAAAAUUAAAGAAACUUUUUUUAUAUUUUUACAUAAAUUUAUGAAUUUUUGAUCCAUAUCAAUGAUUAAUAGAAUAAAUUACCUUAGGGAUAACAGCGUUAUUUUUUUUUAGAGUUCAAAUCGAAAAAAGAGAUUGCGACCUCGAUGUUGGAUUAAAGUUUAUUUUAGGUGUAGAAGCUUAAAUAUUUGGUCUGUUCGACCAUUAAAACUUUACA